GUCGGGUUCGGGAUGAAGCGGUUGACGCGGUCGCCGAUGAUCGCCUGGGUGUGCUUGCCGUCGCUGACCAUCUGCACGCCGCGUUUGCGGAACUUCUU
This 98-nucleotide small RNA is filed under the name Mycobacterium fragae. Its description in RNAcentral is "Mycobacterium sRNA Ms_AS-1". It matches the Rfam family "Mycobacterium sRNA Ms_AS-1". The record is from Rfam by way of RNAcentral. Lineage: Bacteria; Bacillati; Actinomycetota; Actinomycetes; Mycobacteriales; Mycobacteriaceae.